RNAcentral lists this ribosomal RNA (522 nucleotides) under Salmonella enterica subsp. enterica serovar Berta. Its description in RNAcentral is "partial 23S ribosomal RNA". It matches the Rfam family "Bacterial large subunit ribosomal RNA", at positions 711 to 1230 of the family's 2925-position model. RNAcentral also lists the same sequence under 6 other names. Lineage: Bacteria; Pseudomonadati; Pseudomonadota; Gammaproteobacteria; Enterobacterales; Enterobacteriaceae. The record is from RNAcentral.
AGACCCGAAACCCGGUGAUCUAGCCAUGGGCAGGUUGAAGGUUGGGUAACACUAACUGGAGGACCGAACCGACUAAUGUUGAAAAAUUAGCGGAUGACCUGUGGCUGGGGGUGAAAGGCCAAUCAAACCGGGAGAUAGCUGGUUCUCCCCGAAAGCUAUUUAGGUAGCGCCUCGUGAAUUCAUCUCCGGGGGUAGAGCACUGUUUCGGCUAGGGGGCCAUCCCGGCUUACCAACCCGAUGCAAACUGCGAAUACCGGAGAAUGUUAUCACGGGAGACACACGGCGGGUGCUAACGUCCGUCGUGAAGAGGGAAACAACCCAGACCGCCAGCUAAGGUCCCAAAGUCAUGGUUAAGUGGGAAACGAUGUGGGAAGGCCCAGACAGCCAGGAUGUUGGCUUAGAAGCAGCCAUCAUUUAAAGAAAGCGUAAUAGCUCACUGGUCGAGUCGGCCUGCGCGGAAGAUGUAACGGGGCUAAACCAUGCACCGAAGCUGCGGCAGCGACGCUUAUGCGUUGUUGGGUA